RNAcentral lists this ribosomal RNA (253 nucleotides) under uncultured bacterium. RNAcentral's name for it is "partial 16S ribosomal RNA". It matches the Rfam family "Bacterial small subunit ribosomal RNA", at positions 524 to 776 of the family's 1533-position model. The record is from RNAcentral.
UACAGAGGUCCCGAGCGUUGUUCGGAUUCACUGGGCGUAAAGGGUGCGUAGGUGGCAGGGUAAGUCGGAUGUGAAAGCUCGGAGCUCAACUCCGAAAUGGCAUUGGAAACUACCCAGCUCGAGGGUUGGAGGGGGGACUGGAAUGCUUGGUGUAGCAGUGAAAUGCGUAGAUAUCGAGAGGAACACCAGUGGCGAAGGCGAGUCCCUGGACAACACCUGACACUGAGGCACGAAAGCUAGGGGAGCAAACAGG